AAAGAGAAUACACAAAAAUACACAUUAGACCUAGACUAGACUCUAAGACCUAAGGGAAAAGGUUGAUCCGCCGCAGAGACAUAGGAGACCCCCCCCCCCCCCCAGGUUGUUCUUCUUCAGCAAAAGAACUCCAUCAUUAGCCACUGAGCAGAGAAUGCCCAACCCCUGGACAAAACAAAAAAAAUUGGCCGUAAACCCCAACUUCAAAAACAGAAAUCGACCUUCCUCAAUUCCCAAUUUCCAAGAGCCUCUCACGCAUACACAUCCCUGAAACCUAGUAAAAAUAGGAGUUCUUUGCACCAAACAACAGCUCCAAAUGGCCCAGCAGUGAGGUUUAACGGAGGUCAUUUUCGAAUGGCCGUUGAGGUAUCGAGUCGCCGGUUCUGGUCGAGUCUUCCGGUGUUGUUGUGGCUGUUGUUCAAGUUUGAUAGCGAUUUGUUUUCAAUAUUUGUACGCGGUUGGAAUUUCUUUCAAGUAAUUAUAUAUAGAUCCAAUCCUUAAGGUUCGUCUCCAUUUUGUUUUUAUUAUUUUAUUUAAUAGCUUGAAAUCACUGUAUUUGUUGUUAUGUUGCCUUGUUAGUUUUGUUUGGUUAUAUUUUGAAACUGAUUUUUAUCAAUUUUCCAUUUUGUUAAAGAGAAAAGAAUGCUUGAACCUUUCUAGUCAUAUCGAGUCAGCUUUUUAGUUCUAGUGUUACCUUGUGCUUAUGAAAUUUUGAUAUUUUUUGAUGAUGGAAGAAAACUGAUGAAAGUUUGUUUGUUCAUUCUUGUUGCGUUAGUUUCUUUGUCAUUUACUGUUGUCUUCAUUCUUUUUUUUAGUUUGUUGAUUGUUUUGUUUUCCCCUUUAUAAUUAGCCUUUCAUAUAGUUAAAUAUGAUUUAAAUCAUUAAAGGAUGUCGUUGAAUCUUAUAAAUGAGUUGUUACGGUCAUUUGAAUAAUGAGCAGUGACCUCUUUUUACUUAAUUGCUAUACUAUCCUACUAAUGAAUAAAUCAAUAAUUUGGCCUAUACUUUGGACGUUAUUAAUAAUAAAUUAUCAUAGCUACGGGUACGGUUCCCGUGACGUAGUUGUGAUACGUAAUCUCAUUCCGGGUGUGCAUUUCAUGUGACCCGAUUCUAAUUUCCAACAAGGUUAAAUAGAACAUGCCGUGAACCGUGAGUGCAUUUCAUGUAGCGUGGCUUACGAUGUGUUUUAAAUAACCUUUGAAUUUUCCUGAAAUACUAGGUUAGAAAGUUAAAAAAUGCACAUAGGUUUUAAAUGUGUAAUUACAUCAGAUAAUUAUGCCAAUAAUAAUAGUUGAGUGACCGUGCUAAAACUACAGAACUCGGGAAUGCCUAAAACCUUCUCCCGGUUUAAUAGAAUUUCUUACCCGGAUUUCUGUGUUCACGGACUGUAAAACAGAGUCAAUUUUUCCUCGAUUCGGGAUUUAAACCGGUGACUUGACAUCAUAAAUUAUUCCAAGUAACGACUUUGAACAAUAAAUAAAAAAUCCUGUUUCGAUUGUCACUUUAAGUUGGAAAAAACUCUCUUAUACCCUUUCGGGGGUAGGAAAAAGGAAGUGUGACAGCUCUGGCAACUCUGCGAGGGAAAAGAACCCAGAAUCUCUGGUAAGCCACUCGGGUAAGCCAGGUCUAGAACAAAUAAAUCCAGGUUUUUAAAUCUAUAAUAACAUAGCCUCAUGUCGGAUCCCUAGUAAGAACGUUUGUUUGCAUCACGUGCAUUUGACGUUAGGGACUCAACACAGGGGUUGGGUCCGUCUAGGACAUGUAUAUCCAAAAAUAACAGACCAUCUUGAUGCAUCCUAUGUGCUACAUGUUGCAAUCUUCAAGGGUAAAAGGGUCAUUUGGCGGACCAAUGAUAGUUAAGGGCAAAUGAAAAAAAAGAAAAAAUGAUAAAGGAAGGUGAAGUGUGAAAAUAAGGCAAGUAGGGCCCAAUUUAUGUUUUCUUUCACAUUUUUGUUAAGAAAAAGAAAAAAAUGAUCAUUUUCCAAAAAAAAAAUCAAAAAAAGGGAAAGAAAAUCCAAAAAGACUUUACACGUUUCAUUAUUUUUCAAAAAAAGACAAAAAAUAUAUUUUCUCUAAGUUAUUUGUUAAGUUUAUUUCCCGCCCGUAUCCAAUCUGUCCGAAUUACGCAUACCCGAUUCUCAUCUUUCGGGGCAUGAUACGUAGGCGACCCACAUAGGGUCCGAUCUUCCUAGUAAAUCUUAGGUUCUUGACUUUGCGGGAUCUUAGCCAAAUUUUUCAUUUUUAGCCACCUUUUGGCCAAAUAAGUCAUUUUGCAAAACUAGCCUCAAUCAUAUCUUGCAUGUGUCCAACAGAAAGGGUUAUUGUCUCAAAUAGCAUUUUAGGCCUUUAACUUUAUUUGGUCUUAAUUUUUUCAUACAGGUGUGGAUUUACUUAUCGAAUUUUGGGCAUGACAAACGCCUUAGGACCAUCCAGUCAAGAUUGCUCAUGUAGGAGUUGCUUAAGGAGAUAUAUUUAUUUUUUAUUAUUUUUUUAUGUUUUGAGUAUGUUCUUCAUUUUAUUUCGUCUUUUACUUUCUAGUUUUGUACAGUAAUGUCGAGUCUUUUGUUAUUUUACUUCCUACUUUAUAUUUGAAAAAGUGUGUUGUAACUCA
This 2611-nucleotide long non-coding RNA is filed under the name Nicotiana tabacum (common tobacco). Its description in RNAcentral is "long non-coding RNA (NTAB_LNC002574)". Lineage: Eukaryota; Viridiplantae; Streptophyta; Magnoliopsida; Solanales; Solanaceae. The record is from RNAcentral.